Molecule: long non-coding RNA, 1190 nt
Organism: Carassius auratus (goldfish)
Lineage: Eukaryota; Metazoa; Chordata; Actinopteri; Cypriniformes; Cyprinidae
Exons: 3
Source: RefSeq, a predicted model, not a curated record
AGAUUUGUAAAUAAAAAUCUAGCUGUUAUUUUUCAACUUGCUGAAUGUGCAAGUCAGUAGAAGAGUGCCGCUGUAAAACUCUGCUUAUCACGGAUCCUCCGUCACCCGCUUCCUGUGGGAAGUUUACAGUCCAAAUAUGGGCUUCGUGACGUCAAGUUCUUCCUCUGAGGGAGCGUCAGUUGCCCCGCCCACUUCAUCUGGAGCGUUGCGCAGAGGCGCGUUCCCGACACUCACGAGCAACACCUGCUUAACAAGCAAGCAGUUCAGAAAUCCACACACAAUGACAAAUAACACGAACUGAAUCCCACACAGAAGAACACAUACAGAAAAUGCCUUUUCUAUCAUAUAAUAAUAGUCAACAAUAAUUAGUUGUUAAACGCCGGUCUCUAAACCAGGUUGACAUGGAUACGAGCCAGUAAAGAUAAUGUAAGCUGAUCCUGCGUGUGAGAGAGAUCUGCCUGAGGCCGGAUCACAUUUACGGGUGCCAGUGCCAUCAUCUUUAGGCCACUGCUGUACUGUGUUCAUCAGAUGAUGUCACCGCUGGUGUCAGGGCCAAUCACAGGUCUCCCCUCAGACUCGACCGCGUCUCUGCGUCAGCAGAAAAACACAAGAUAUUUGCUGGAGAUGCGCUGAAGAGCGUUAAACACUGAAGCAGCAGUCAGCAGAAAACAAGGGCUGAGCGCCUCCAGACAGACGAGGGUUAGAGAGGGUCAGAGAGCCAACGCUUCACUGAAACUCACACACAGAAGAGCGUCUGUAAAUACACUGACCUGUCAUGACCACACAAACCGAGCAAUUAACAGCCUGGUAAUGAUGAGUAAUGUCCAUCUCACCAGUACUCUGUGUAAAAAACAGUCCACUAUUAAUCAUACCGAUCUAUUUAUAAUCAAUAAAAUAUAUGAAUAAUUAACAUUUCACUUGUCUUGCUUGUCUUCAUUCUGGAGGAGCUUACAAACCCUAUUUUCUUGGAGAUCUGAAGCAUGUUUGUGAUGCUGGAAACACGAGACACAGGGCAAUGCAAUUACAAUUAUUAUUUUUUCAUUUAUUUUUUGGUUGCACCGCUUUUGCAUUUAUCAUUUUCUGUGUAAAGACUCGAUAACACCUUUAUACAAUCCCAUUUUCACCACACGAUUAAUAAACAUAUAUAUCACAAUGUUGCGAUUUUUUUUCAUGCCAUUGCGGGUUUAUUU